UUUUUUUUUUUUUUUUGAGAUGGGAGUCUUGCUCUGUCCCCCAGAUUGGAGUGCAAUGGCGUGAUCUCGGCUCACUGCAAUCUCCGCCUUCCAGGUUCAAGUGAUUCCCCUGCCUCAGCCUCCCAAAUAGCUGGGUUACAGGACCCCUGCGCCAGCUAAUUUUCAUAUUUUUAGUAGAGACCGGGUUUCACCAGGUUGGCCAGGCUGGUCUCAAACUCCUGACCUCAGGUGACCCACCUGCCUCGGCCUCUCAAAGUACUGGGAUUGAAGGCAUGGCCAUGGGACAGCAUGAAACUUUUUUCUGAGACAGGGUCUUGCUAUGUGCCCAGGCAGGAGUACAGUGGUGUGACCUUGGUUCACUGUAGCCUCAAACUCCUGGGCUCAAGUGAUCCUCCUAUCUCAGCCUCCCAAGUAGCUAGGACAAUAGGCAUGUGCCACCAUAUCAAGCUAAUUGUAGAGAUGAAGGUCUCACUGUUUCCCAGGCUGGUCUGGAACUUCAAGUGACUCUCCCACCUCAGCCUCCCAACGUGUUGAGAUUACACACGUAAGCCGCUGCACCUAAAUUCUAACUUUCUGUAAUAGAUUUGUGUAUAUUUUAUGGUAGUAAAUGAUAAAAUAGACUAGUACCUAUAUACAUUUUAUGCGUCCAUGACACACCUAGCUUUUUCUUAAUUUGUUCAGUAUCUCUAAGGCAACAUGGUUCAGUUGUGAGUUUUUUCCAAUUGUCACAAAUUUCAAAAAAAAUUUCCAAUAUAUUUAUUGAAAAAACCCCACGUGUAAGUGGCCCCAGGCAGUGAAGACCUGUGUUGUUCAGGGGUCAGUUGCAUUUCCUCUCCCACACCUGCUUCGCUGGGCAUUCAGUCCCUUCCUGCAGAGCUGCCACAGUUGCCUGAGUUGCUGUUCUCUUCCUUGUGGGCCAUGGCUUCCUGGGAAGCUUCAGAGAGCUGAGCUGGCAGCUUAUGGGCACUGCUUCCUGGGCGCUCUGCCAGAGUGCUGAGUCCUAGGUCAUAGCAGAGCCCCCUAUGGCCAUGCCCUCAAAUCUCAGGUACACUCCUGAUCCCCACCACCAGCUCAUCCUCUUUUUUCUCUGGCAGGCCCAGCACCCUCCUACUGACCUUCUUGGUCCAGGGGCCAGGAGGGGAGGUGAGCACAGAUCCUAAGGAGAGGUGGCAGAGGCCUGUGCAUGACCUUCAAACGAGAGCAAAGCACCGGCCCUUAACAGGGAGGAGCGGGCUUAGAGAUUUUGGUGGGGGGUGGGGGGGCAGGGCUGGGGCAUCCAGGUUUUCUAGAGUUCUAGAGUAUUGAUCCAGAUGUCCCCAUCCCAGUGUAAGUGUCCCACAUUCCUAACUAGGACAAUGACCUCGGUAUGGCAGACUUGGUAAGGUUGAAAGUUCUACCUUCUUGGAGCUCUGAUGCCUUAAUAACAACCCCGUGCCUGAUCCCUUCAGCUUUGUCCACCCUCCUGCCUGGCCGCCAAGGAAGCCUCUAAUGGAUCUCACAUUGUGCCUUUUCUAGUGAUUAAUCAUGGUCAGCUUUUCAUUAUCUUUCUCCGAGGCAUCACCUAUAACCCCAGCAAAAUCUCUCUCAAGGUCAGUCACUCCUCCACUUACACUUCCCAAAGGCCCAGGGUACUCUAUUCCCUUCCCCAGUGUCACCAUGGCGAACGUUUCACAGUUCCCCUUUACAGCUAUCCCACUUGCCACUGGUGAUGGGGUCAUCGUGGCCAGCAGCGAGCCAGCUUACAGUCGGCUUCCUGGGACCACUCCCCACACCAACUCUCUCGAGCCAGGUGCCCCAAAGGCAGAUUUCAAAGGGCAUCAGCACCACUCAUAAGGGAGCAAGGGCUGCUGGACUGGGCAAGUGAGAGGUGGAACUGAGAAGCGGAUGCAGCAGAGGCCUCAGCCGACAGCACUGGUGCAGUGGAGCCAGGAUGGCUCUUUGGAGAUGUCCCAAAUUGAGGCAAGGGGGUUGGGGUCUCCAUACUCCCAUAUUGACAAGUCUCCAGACAUGGGCUGCCCCUGGAAGAAGGCGUAACUUUGGGCAGCUCCCUUCCACUGAACACAACUCCCAGAAAGAGUCAGCUGUGAGCUGGCCGCAGCUCCUAACAGUGAGUGUCCAACACUCCUGGAAAUGAGUCUCAGUCCUGAAAGGUAUCUGGAGUGUAGCAGUCUCCGUGACCGUCCACUCAGGCUGGUCCAGUCUCCCAGGUUUGGGACAGCCACAGAGAGGCUCCACGUACGGUUGGCAGUGGCACACUCAGGCUUAGACUCGCCCUGGUCUCCUGCUGUAGUGUUCCUAUAAUGCCACAGGUUUACUAAGAAGUGGACCCAGGGGAGGGGAAUCCAGGAUCAAUUGGAUAGAGUAGGUUAAAUGCAAGGAAUGACAGACAGCUGCAAAGUUUAAGGAAAGUGCCUGUUAAUGCACAAGCAAGAAUCAAAAAGAAGUCACAGAUUUAUCUUUUUAUGUUUUAAGGGACAGGAUUGGCUGGGUGUGGUGCCUCACGCCUGUAAUCCUA
RNAcentral lists this long non-coding RNA (2515 nucleotides) under Macaca fascicularis (crab-eating macaque). RNAcentral's name for it is "lncRNA (ENSMFAG00000047531.1)". The record is from RNAcentral. Lineage: Eukaryota; Metazoa; Chordata; Mammalia; Primates; Cercopithecidae.